UACGGAAGAUGCGAGCGCUAUCCGGAUUUAUUGGGUUUAAAGGGAGUGUAGGCGGCCCUGUAAGUCAGCGGUUAAAUGUCAUGGCCCAACCUUGGCAUGCCGUUGAAACUGCUGGGCUUGAAUGCACUCAAGGGAGGCGGAAUUCGUCGUGUAGCGGUGAAAUGCUUAGAUAUGACGAGGAACUCCGAUUGCGAAGGCAGCCUUCUGGCGUGCGAUUGACGCUGAGGCUCGAGAGCGCGGGUAUCAAACA
This 250-nucleotide ribosomal RNA is filed under the name uncultured prokaryote. Its description in RNAcentral is "partial 16S ribosomal RNA". It matches the Rfam family "Bacterial small subunit ribosomal RNA", at positions 524 to 774 of the family's 1533-position model. The record is from RNAcentral.